GCCUGCACAGACCUGUGCCCAGGCUGCCUGCGUGCAGGGGGCUGUCACCCUCAUCACACAGCCCUUUCAUUCUCCUCUCCUGCAGCUCUAGAUCCAGCUCAGAGAUACUCACAGGAAUCAGUAACAGGCUGGAAAGAUAAACUUGACUUCAGGUGAAAUACAAGCACCAGGACAUUUUUUCUGUUCCAAUUCUAGACAAGUGUGUUGAAGGGCACAGUUUUUCCAAAAGGAAAACAUUUGGUUUUGUUCUUUUUUUCUCAAGACUAAAAGACCUCUUGAUGCCAAAAGAGUUAAUAUUGCUCAUCAUUACUUUCAAAAGACCUUUUUCUUGUGUUGGGCUCUGCCUGCCCACAAGGAACACUCCAAGAAAGUGGCCAGUUUUGGUUAAAAUAUUGCAAAGCUGAAGGAGAGCCCUCAUCAAGUAGCCAACAGGAGGAGGAAGAGAAAUGCCCUGUCAGUCAGCAGCUUCAGGAGGUUUAACCCUACAAAGUCAUACGUGUUCUGAACGCAGAGUUGUAUUAAAUCAUACCAAACCAGCACUUCUGGUGCUAUUGCAGUUCAACACAAACAUCUCCUUCGUUUUCUAAAAUCCGUGGGCUGAGGUGUCCCACCUGCCAGGUGAAAAAGCAGACCAGAAAAAUCACAGCGAGUUCCUAGAAAGAAGGAACAGACAGGAGCAGGCCCCAGAGGAGGUGUCACACCUGCCAAGCCACCCAGCCAGGAGGAAACUUGGCUCUGUGCUCUCACAAAGGUGUGUGAAAGAGUCUUGAAAAGCACAAAACAAAGCAAUGUGAUGUCUGUGGGACCUGCCCACACACUGAGCUCUGACACUUACCUUGAAGCGUUUUGGUGUGAGGUGGGUGUAAGGCUUUGGUAUCAUCCCCUUAGUCUUCAGCAGAAAACUGAAGUUUUAA
Molecule: long non-coding RNA, 914 nt
Organism: Passer domesticus (house sparrow)
Lineage: Eukaryota; Metazoa; Chordata; Aves; Passeriformes; Passeridae
Exons: 3
Source: RefSeq, a predicted model, not a curated record